RNAcentral lists this unclassified non-coding RNA (221 nucleotides) under uncultured Tomentella. RNAcentral describes it as "sequence contains ITS2". The record is from RNAcentral. Lineage: Eukaryota; Fungi; Basidiomycota; Agaricomycetes; Thelephorales; Thelephoraceae.
ACACCUCAACUCAUCAUGGUUUUCUAUGAUGAGCUUGGACUUUGGGGGUUUUGCUGGCUUACGGUCGGCUCCUCUAAAAUGAAUCAGCUUGCCAGUGUUUGGUGGGUAUCAUGGGUGUGAUAACUAUCUACGCUUGUGGUUUUUCCACCAGAUAACCUUCAGCAGUGGAGGUUCACUGGAGCUCACAGACGUCUCUCCUCAGUGAGGACAGCCCUUUUAAU